GACGAACGCUGGCGGCGUGCUUAACACAUGCAAGUCGAACGGAAAGGCCCUGCUUUUGUGGGGUGCUCGAGUGGCGAACGGGUGAGUAACACGUGAGUAACCUGCCCUUGACUUUGGGAUAACUUCAGGAAACUGGGGCUAAUACCGGAUAGGAGCUCCUGCUGCAUGGUGGGGGUUGGAAAGUUUCGGCGGUUGGGGAUGGACUCGCGGCUUAUCAGCUUGUUGGUGGGGUAGUGGCUUACCAAGGCUUUGACGGGUAGCCGGCCUGAGAGGGUGACCGGCCACAUGGGGACUGAGAUACGGCCCAGACUCCUACGGGAGGCAGAAGUGGGGAAUAUUGCACAAUGGGCGGAAGCCUGAUGCAGCAACGCCGCGUGCGGGAUGACGGCCUUCGGGUAGUAAACCGCUGUCGCCUGUGACGAAGCGUGAGUGACGGUAAUGGGUAAAGAAGCACCGGCUAACUACGUG
RNAcentral lists this ribosomal RNA (468 nucleotides) under uncultured bacterium. Its description in RNAcentral is "partial 16S ribosomal RNA". It matches the Rfam family "Bacterial small subunit ribosomal RNA", at positions 28 to 507 of the family's 1533-position model. The record is from RNAcentral.